This 438-nucleotide long non-coding RNA is filed under the name Monodelphis domestica (gray short-tailed opossum). RNAcentral describes it as "lncRNA (ENSMODG00000030235.2)". The record is from RNAcentral. Lineage: Eukaryota; Metazoa; Chordata; Mammalia; Didelphimorphia; Didelphidae.
UACAGCGGAUGAUCAAAAUUUUUUUCCCAGAAAUCUGUACAUAUUUACGAAAGUCCACUUGGGGACAAUUUUCUAUCGAAAUGGAUAGAGCCAAAAAAGCAAGCAGAAAAGGAGAAACUCACACUGGAGAAGAAUAACCAGAACUUCAAAGAAGUCUCUGAGAGACUAAAGAACUUAGAAAGUAUCCUGGAACCUCAUAUGAAAGUGAAAAAGUGGAAAUGGAAGAAAAUGCUAUGCAAAUACAGAGCAUUGCUAAUACACAUAAUUAGUGAGGCGCAGCAAAUGAUGAAGCCAGAUGUGGAACUCAUCCAGAAUGUGAGAAGAACAUUAACAAGGUAUACUUCUCUCUCAGCGAUGGAACCCCUCACACUGGUUUUAGAGCCAUACUAUUUCACUGUGUUGGCAGUUUUUAAAAUGUAUUCCAAAAUCCACAGCUAG